AUUGAACGCUGGCGGCAUGCCUUACACAUGCAAGUCGAACGGUAACGCGGGGCAACCUGGCGACGAGUGGCGAACGGGUGAGUAAUGCAUCGGAACGUGCCCAGUUGUGGGGGAUAACUGCUCGAAAGAGCAGCUAAUACCGCAUACGACCUGAGGGUGAAAGCGGGGGAUCGCAAGACCUCGCGCAAUUGGAGCGGCCGAGGUCGGAUUAGCUAGUUGGUGGGGUAAAGGCCCACCAAGGCGACGAUCCGUAGCUGGUCUGAGAGGACGACCAGCCACACUGGGACUGAGACACGGCCCAGACUCCUACGGGAGGCAGCAGUGGGGAAUUUUGGACAAUGGACGCAAGUCUGAUCCAGCCAUGCCGCGUGCGGGAAGAAGGCCUUCGGGUUGUAAACCGCUUUUGUCAGGGAAGAAAUCUUCUGGGUUAAUACCUCGGGAGGAUGACGGUACCUGAAGAAUAAGCACCGGCUAACUACGUGCCAGCCGCCGCAGUAA
This 498-nucleotide ribosomal RNA is filed under the name uncultured bacterium. RNAcentral's name for it is "partial 16S ribosomal RNA". It matches the Rfam family "Bacterial small subunit ribosomal RNA", at positions 29 to 523 of the family's 1533-position model. The record is from RNAcentral.